AUGGGUAAUUCACCUUGCCGCUGGGAUAGCGAGCAAGAUGAGACAUUUAUAUCUUUGGCAAUUAGAGAGCGAUAUUGCUAUACUAAAUAGCUAUAUGUCACAUUAGUUGAAACUAAGAUGAGACCUUUUCUGAGCUCGAUCAUAGAGUAUAUUCAUAACUCUAUGAAACUUGUAUAAAGUCAGACGUGAGUUUUUCAGGCAGGCA
Molecule: long non-coding RNA, 205 nt
Filed under: Elaeis guineensis (African oil palm)
Lineage: Eukaryota; Viridiplantae; Streptophyta; Magnoliopsida; Arecales; Arecaceae
Description: long non-coding RNA (EGUI_LNC066891)
Source: RNAcentral